This 687-nucleotide long non-coding RNA is filed under the name Homo sapiens (human). Its description in RNAcentral is "HSALNT0350837". The record is from RNAcentral. Lineage: Eukaryota; Metazoa; Chordata; Mammalia; Primates; Hominidae.
AAGUAUGUUUCUGGUGCGCUCACUGGUCCUAAACCGGCAGGUGGAUAUACUUACCGAUGGUUUACAUGUGGAGAAAUAGCCCUGCCCAAUAUUUCACGGUUAGUGCUGGAACUAGGACUCAAAUUCAGGUUUCCUGGCUCCAAUUCUACACUUGCUCCAGUAUAUAAUGUUGUCAUUUGAAGGUGUUCAGAGCCAGCAGACGUAGGAGUCUGGACUCAGACGCUCAGAAAAAAUUUCUGCAUAGACAAUUACUAUUCUUACUCAUUCAGCUAUUUGGCACAUAACUCAAAAAAGAAAUGAACACUUGGCACGCCAUUUUGGGCAGGUUGUCCCUAUGGUGAUGUGUCUCUUAGGAGGAUCUUCUCUGCAUUUCGUGUACAGAUUUCUCCCGAAUCUCACAGAAGCAAUAUUGGAACAGAAAGUGAAACUAUAUUGCUUCUGACAAGCCUGCCCGCUGCGUGGCUUUUCCAGCUACACUGACUAGCAUUGUGUUCACCUGGAGAGAGGAGAUUCUAAACCAUCCACUCCCUGCUGAUCCUUAGUUUCUGGCUGGUGACACACCAGAAGGAUAGGAUGGCUCCAAUCUCCCUGAUGAAGGGGUAAUCACCUGACUUUCUCUUGGAAACAGAGGCACUGGUUCAGGUCCACAACAUUGAACUUGGAGAGCAAUAACCUCUGUGUGCACAG